RNAcentral lists this unclassified non-coding RNA (351 nucleotides) under soil metagenome. RNAcentral describes it as "partial contains 5.8S ribosomal RNA, internal transcribed spacer 2, and large subunit ribosomal RNA". The stretch from base 1 to 120 matches the Rfam family "5.8S ribosomal RNA", at positions 35 to 154 of the family's 154-position model. The record is from RNAcentral.
GAUGAAGAACGCAGUGAAAUGCGAUAAGUAAUGUGAAUUGCAGAAUUCAGUGAAUCAUCGAAUCUUUGAACGCACAUUGCGCCCGCCAGUAUUCUGGCGGGCAUGCCUGUUCGAGCGUCAUUACAACCCUCAGGCCCCCGGGCCUGGCGUUGGGGAUCGGCGGAGCCCCCCGUGGGCACACGCCGUCCCCCAAAUGCAGUGGCGGUCCCGCCGCAGCUUCCAUCGCGUAGUAGCUAACACCUCGCGACUGGAGAGCGGCGCGGCCACGCCGUAAAACACCCAACUCUUCUGAAGUUGACCUCGAAUCAGGUAGGAAUACCCGCUGAACUUAAGCAUAUCAAUAAGCGAGGA